Non-coding RNA from Nicotiana tabacum (common tobacco), 2054 nucleotides. The record is from RefSeq and is a predicted model, not a curated record. NCBI's taxonomy places the organism in Eukaryota, Viridiplantae, Streptophyta, Magnoliopsida, Solanales, Solanaceae.
UAAUACGUUUGGUGCGGCAAGCUAUUGAGGCAAUUAACCAUAAUGGUUUUGGUGGCAGUAGAGGCUAAAUCAACCCUGUAUACUAUGUGGUUUUGCUUGUUUUGUCCAUUCACAAGCAGGCUCUUGGAUAUGAGAAGGAAGUGAGGACCUGCAGUGCAAUUUGGUGAAGAGGCAUGCUGUUAAGUGCGUUAUAUUCCUGUACAUGUGUACAAAGUGGGAUUGAUUUGCUAUUUCAUGAAUUUUUGAGAAUUCAACUUUUUGGUAUAUGAUAAGGGCAUAGCAUGCUCAACGUUAAAAUUUACAGGUUGGGGACAAGAGGUGUAUAAAGUUUCAAUCUUCAAGGAUAAGACUUGGAAUUCUCUUAAGAUCCAGUUUUGAAUAUUAGGUUCUUUCUGUUGGGAAUAGUCAAACAUAGGAGUAUGAAUAUUGAGAGCAUUAGGUAACAUAUCUAAGGAGACAUGAGUUCCAAUGUAGUCCCAAUGAUUCAUCCUUUAUUAGAGUACUUGGAUCCUUGGGUUGCCGUAUACUUCAUUUUUUUUUAUAAUUGAACACAAGGCACAAUUUUGGUGGAGGAAUUUAGUGGACUUACUAUAUUAUCCGUCAUUAAUUCUUUUUUCUCCUUCUUUUUUAAGUUUUUUUAUCUGGUGAAAAUAAGCGACUGAUUCUGUCUCACAAAUUUAUAUUAUGUACUUAGCAGAUUACUAAGGAAUUCUGCCAAAAAAAGAAAAAAAGAGUGAGGAGAGAACGAGAGAAAGAAAAGAGGAGAUUGCUAGAGAAUUGCAAUUUUGUGGUAAAAGAAAGGAAUGUAUAACAUGGAGUUAGUCACUUAUGUCCGCAUGCCUACAAUCUUCAACAUCUAAUCAGCUUUUGCUACAACAACAACAACAACAACUCAUUAUAAUCCCACUUAGUGGGGUCUGGGUAGGGUAGUGUGUAUACAUACCUUAUCCCUACCCUGGGGUAGAGAGGCUGUUUCUUGGGGAGACUCGAACUCACAACCUCUUGGUUGGAAGUGGGGGUUGCUUACCAUCAGAGCAACCCCUCUUGUCUAUCUAAUCAGCUUUUGCUCUCUUUACUAAAUGAGCCGAGAAGGCUGGGUGUGGGUCAUAUUUUUUGGACAGCUGGUAUCCGUUAAAUCUGCUGAUCUUAGAAAGUGCUGCAGAAGAACUUGAAGUUUUGCUGUAAGUUGCACCAUAUUACCUUGCCUUUGUUUCCUUCCAUGUUUCCUGUGUGAGUUUUCAACUGAUCUUAUUGUGGGGAACAGCAAAACUGUUUAGUGCAGUAAACGAAUUGGAAAAUGUGUUUCUCCUGAGACACAGUCAAAUCCUGGUUGCUCCCUGUGUUCCAGAAAGACACGACAGUGGUUAAGGCAGUGAAAGAUACGGUGAGGUGGACAAAAAGUGAUGAUUUACUGCCACAGGUAUGUACUACGUAAUGAGUGACGAAGAAUGUUCUACCAGCUAAAUUUAUAUGUGCGGAACAAGUCCCCAGUAAAGGCAGCUUUCUUUGCAUGAGAGCUUGGUUGCGCUUCCUGGAGAUGGCCUGAUGCAGAAUCUCAACUUUUGAGAAGGAUUCUUGUCAACUUCUCUGCUGUGUCUAAACGCGGAGAUGUCUCGCGCUAUAGUUUGCUGUUUGUCUGACUGGCACAUGUCAACUGAGUCAUGCUGGCAUAAAUGAGGAGAUUUUGUUAUGUUGCUCCACGCUUGAGAAGGGCAAGAGUGAGGGGAAAAAAAAAGAAACUAUGAGAAUUCAUCGUGUAUCUGCUUAUUUUGGUGUACCUGGGAUUCCUUUUUCUUCUUGAGUUGAAGAAACAACUACUUCAUCAAUCUCAUAUCAUAGACAAAUGUAACAUUUUCCUUGUGAAACUGCACCACACAGAUCCAAGUUGGGUCACAACUGGAUGUUACAUUUGUAGCAUAUGUUGGGCUACUUGGUUUUAGUUUUGGUUUUGUACUUGUAGCUUGCACGAUUGUAAACGCCUGCGAUUCAAUUAACAUCUGUAAUUCCAUAUUGGAUUUUGGCUGUAAGUAUAAGGAUUGACUGUAUUCCUAUAA